Nasonia vitripennis (jewel wasp) is the source of this 81-nucleotide non-coding RNA. RefSeq annotates it as microRNA mir-1. The record is from RefSeq and is marked provisional. Lineage: Eukaryota; Metazoa; Arthropoda; Insecta; Hymenoptera; Pteromalidae. The transcript has a single exon.
CCGAGCGUCUGUUCCGUGCUUCCUUACUUCCCAUAGUGCACGUGACGUAUGGAAUGUAAAGAAGUAUGGAGCCGCGCUCUG